CGGCCGGGAACUCAAAGGAGACUGCCAGUGAUAAACUGGAGGAAGGUGGGGAUGACGUCAAGUCAUCAUGGCCCUUACGACCAGGGCUACACACGUGCUACAAUGGCAUAUACAAAGAGAAGCGACCUCGCGAGAGCAAGCGGACCUCAUAAAGUAUGUCGUAGUCCGGAUUGGAGUCUGCAACUCGACUCCAUGAAGUCGGAAUCGCUAGUAAUCGUAGAUCAGAAUGCUACGGUGAAUACGUUCCCGGGCCUUGUACACCCCGCCCGUCACACCAUGGGAGUGGGUUGCAAAAGAAGUAGGUAGCUUAACCUUCGGGAGGGCGCUUACCACUUUGUGAUUCAUGACUGGGGUGAAGUCGUAACAAGGUAACCGUAGGGGAACCUGCGGUUGGAUC
Molecule: ribosomal RNA, 397 nt
Filed under: Klebsiella pneumoniae
Lineage: Bacteria; Pseudomonadati; Pseudomonadota; Gammaproteobacteria; Enterobacterales; Enterobacteriaceae
Description: bacterial SSU rRNA
Rfam family: Bacterial small subunit ribosomal RNA
Source: RNAcentral